Molecule: ribosomal RNA, 230 nt
Filed under: uncultured bacterium
Lineage: Bacteria
Description: partial 16S ribosomal RNA
Rfam family: Bacterial small subunit ribosomal RNA
Source: RNAcentral
UGAGGAACAUGACCUUCGGCGGGGGAUAGCCGGCCCAACGGCCGGGUAAUACCGCGUACGACCACAUGGGGACAUCCCUGAGUGGUGAAAGCAGCAAUGCGCCGAUGGAGUGCCUCGCGGCCUAUCAGCUAGUUGGUGAGGUAACGGCUCACCAAGGCGACGACGGGUAGCUGGCCUGAGAGAUGGCCAGCCACAUUGGGACUGAGACACGGCCCAGACUNUACGGGAGG